RNAcentral lists this ribosomal RNA (449 nucleotides) under uncultured bacterium. RNAcentral's name for it is "partial 16S ribosomal RNA". It matches the Rfam family "Bacterial small subunit ribosomal RNA", at positions 29 to 523 of the family's 1533-position model. The record is from RNAcentral.
AACGAACGCUGGCGGCAUGCCUAACACAUGCAAGUCGAACGAAGGCUUCGGCCUUAGUGGCGCACGGGUGCGUAACGCGUGGGAAUCCGCCCCUCGGUUCGGAAUAACAGUUAGAAACGACUGCUAAUACCGGAUGAUGACUUCGGUCCAAAGAUUUAUCGCCGAGGGAUGAGCCCGCGUAAGAUUAGGUAGUUGGUGGGGUAAAGGCCUACCAAGCCGACGAUCUUUAGCUGGUCUGAGAGGAUGAUCAGCCACACUGGGACUGAGACACGGCCCAGACUCCUACGGGAGGCAGCAGUGGGGAAUAUUGGACAAUGGGCGAAAGCCUGAUCCAGCAAUGCCGCGUGAGUGAUGAAGGCCUUAGGGUUGUAAAGCUCUUUUACCAGGGAUGAUAAUGACAGUACCUGGAGAAUAAGCUCCGGCUAACUCCGUGCCAGCCGCCGCGGUAA